Molecule: ribosomal RNA, 301 nt
Filed under: uncultured bacterium
Lineage: Bacteria
Description: partial 16S ribosomal RNA
Rfam family: Bacterial small subunit ribosomal RNA
Source: RNAcentral
CAGCAGCCACGGUAAUACGGAGGGUGCAAGCGUUAAUCGGAAUUACUGGGCGUAAAGCGCACGCAGGCGGUCUGACAAGUCAGAUGUGAAAUCCCCGGGCUUAACCUGGGAACUGCAUUUGAAACUGUCAGGCUGGAGUCUUGUAGAGGGGGGUGGAAUUCCAGGUGUAGCGGUGAAAUGCGUAGAGAUCUGGAGGAAUACCGGUGGCGAAGGCGGCCCCCUGGACAAAGACUGACGCUCAGGUGCGAAAGCGUGGGGAGCAAACAGGAUUAGAUACCCAGUAGUCCCUGUCUCUUAUACC